Notolabrus celidotus (New Zealand spotty) is the source of this 940-nucleotide long non-coding RNA. RefSeq lists it as uncharacterized. The record is from RefSeq and is a predicted model, not a curated record. The transcript is spliced from 3 exons. Lineage: Eukaryota; Metazoa; Chordata; Actinopteri; Labriformes; Labridae.
UAGGGGGAUCAGCCCCAUCCUGUUGCCUCACUUCCACAAGUGGUCACCGACCCAGGAGCAGGAAGCUUGCCUCUCCCUUGGUUCAUGCCGUGAAGCGCCGAUCUGAUGCUGUUAUGGCCGAUUUGGGAGGGUAGCUGGGAUCCACUGCUGUUUUGCAGAGCCCCUGUUUUGUGGAGCCCUUGUUUUGCCUAGUUCCGUUUCCUGAACUACCGUUUGGCUGUACUGCAGUCAUUGGUGUCUGGUGACACUGCUUGGCUUUGCCCAUCUGCCUGCCUGUAAGCCGUCUCGCCUGCCUGCCUGCCUGCCUUGUACGUGCCUCGGGUUGGAGCCCUGCUUGUAAACCCAGCUGUGGGUCCAGCGUGGGCACUUCAGCUGUUGGGUCGCUGAGGCAGGCUGACCGAUUCGUGGGACCGCUGCAUGCGGCUGCUCUUCUUCUGCGGCAACCCGUCGAGCUGGGACUAUUUUACCGCCUUUUCUGGAUUUGGACUGAAUGGACUCUGGGGGUUUGGGAUUUGAGUAUUUUGUGUUACUGCCAUUAGUAUUGUUUUCUUUUUCAUUUGCUGACUUGAUUUACCAUUUGAAUAAGUUAUUUAAGUUGCUUAUUUUUGAUUUUAGUUAUAGUGUGUUUUUCAGUUCUAUUAACUGUUUGUUUGUUUCUCUUUCUUUCAGUGGCUGAGAGCCUGGUGGUGGCACUGGUGACCUGGGUGGUGGUUCCCUCCUUCUUUGUAUGCUGUGUGCCCCAUUUGAGUUUUCCAUGAGUGUGUGUGUGUAGGUUCUUCACGUGUGAUUGGGGUGUUUUCAAUCUGAUUUUUCUCACUGGGAUCCCUCCCCUCAACCCAUCGCACCUGGUGAGCCUCAGCCACAUCCAUUCUACCCCCCCCCCCAAUUUAUGAAUGGAUGCUUUUUGUUUGUCUAAUCAUUUUAAAGAAUCAUGUUAAGA